This 499-nucleotide ribosomal RNA is filed under the name uncultured bacterium. RNAcentral's name for it is "partial 16S ribosomal RNA". It matches the Rfam family "Bacterial small subunit ribosomal RNA", at positions 29 to 507 of the family's 1533-position model. The record is from RNAcentral.
ACGAACGCUGGCGGCGUGCUUAACACAUGCAAGUCGAACGGGUCUGCCCUGUUUUUUGCGGGGUGGGUCAGUGGCGAACGGGUGAGUAACACGUGAGUAACCUGCCCCUCACUUCUGGAUAACCGCUUGAAAGGGUGGCUAAUACGGGGUGUUCUGGCUGUGCCGCAUGGUGUGGCUGGGAAAGAUUCACUUUUGUGGUGUUUUGGUGGGGGAUGGGCUCGCGGCCUAUCAGCUUGUUGGUGGGGUGAUGGCCUGCCAAGGCUUUGACGGGUAGCCGGCCUGAGAGGGUGGGCGGUCACACUGGGACUGAGAUACGGCCCAGACUCCUGCGGGAGGCAGCAGUGGGGGGUAUUGCACAAUGGGCGGAAGCCUGAUGCAGCGACGUCGCGUGAGGGAUGGAGGCCUCCGGGUUGUGAACCUCUUUCGCCGGUGAAGAAGGUCCUGCUCUUUGUGGUGGGGUUGACGGUAGCCGGGUUAUGAAGCGCCGGCUAACUACGUG